Molecule: ribosomal RNA, 496 nt
Filed under: uncultured bacterium
Lineage: Bacteria
Description: partial 16S ribosomal RNA
Rfam family: Bacterial small subunit ribosomal RNA
Source: RNAcentral
AUUGAACGCUGGCGGAAUGCUUUACACAUGCAAGUCGAACGGUAGAGGGGGCAACCCCUCGAGAGUGGCGAACGGGUGAGUAAUAUAUCGGAACGUGCCCAGUCGUGGGGGAUAACGUAGCGAAAGUUACGCUAAUACCGCAUACGAUCUAAGGAUGAAAGCGGGGGAUCGCAAGACCUCGCGCGAUUGGAGCGGCCGAUAUCAGAUUAGGUAGUUGGUGGGGUAAAGGCUCACCAAGACAACGAUCUGUAGCUGGUCUGAGAGGACGACCAGCCACGCUGGAACUGAGACAAGGUCCAGACUCCUACGGGAGGCAGCAGUGGGGAAUUUUGGACAAUGGACGCAAGUCUGAUCCAGCCAUUCCGCGUGCAGGAUGAAGGCCCUCGGGUUGUAAACUGCUUUUGUACGGAACGAAAAGGUCUCUCUUAAUACGGGGGACUCAUGACGGUACCGUAAGAAUAAGCACCGGCUAACUACGUGCCAGCCGCCGCGGUAA